AACUAACGCUGGCAGUGCGUCUUAAGCAUGCAAGUCAAACGGAAUGUAGCAAUACAUUCAGUGGCGAACGGGUGAGUAACGCGUGGAUGAUCUGCCUAUGAGAUGGGGAUAACUAUUAGAAAUAGUAGCUAAUACCGAAUAAGGUCAAUUAAUUUGUUAAUUGAUGAAAGGAAGCCUUUAAAGCUUCGCUUGUAGAUGAGUCUGCGUCUUAUUAGCUAGUUGGUAGGGUAAAUGCCUACCAAGGCGAUGAUAAGUAACCGGCCUGAGAGGGUGAACGGUCACACUGGAACUGAGAUACGGUCCAGACUCCUACGGGAGGCAGCAGCUAAGAAUCUUCCGCAAUGGGCGAAAGCCUGACGGAGCGACACUGCGUGAAUGAAGAAGGUCGAAAGAUUGUAAAAUUCUUUUAUAAAUGAGGAAUAAGCUUUGUAGGAAAUGACAAAGUGAUGACGUUAAUUUAUGAAUAAGCCCCGGCUAAUUACGUGCCAGCAGCCGCGGUAAUACGUAAGGGGCGAGCGUUGU
Molecule: ribosomal RNA, 522 nt
Filed under: Borreliella burgdorferi (Lyme disease spirochete)
Lineage: Bacteria; Pseudomonadati; Spirochaetota; Spirochaetia; Spirochaetales; Borreliaceae
Description: bacterial SSU rRNA
Rfam family: Bacterial small subunit ribosomal RNA
Source: RNAcentral